Molecule: long non-coding RNA, 324 nt
Organism: Drosophila pseudoobscura
Lineage: Eukaryota; Metazoa; Arthropoda; Insecta; Diptera; Drosophilidae
Exons: 2
Source: RefSeq, a predicted model, not a curated record
GAUUGGGUAUUUCAAUGUCAUUUGAUUUCAAGUCAGUGCGAGGAGUCCUGCUUUCCAUUAGAGUAAAUGCGUUUUUCCACGUUCAACGAAAUAGCUGUCGAGACGCUUAUGAAUAUGAAUAGCGUUAGUUUUUUCUGCGAUAGUUGGCUAACAUGCUCAGGUAACAACAAAAUGGGAAGGGGAAUACGCGGGACGCCGAAGCUGAGAUGCUCUUGUCUUUGUCUUUGCCCAAGCUCCAGAACAAAGGUGCUUCACAGUUGCAUUUGACUGCGACAGUUCUCUAUUCUCUCUAUCGAUAUACAUAAUACAGAUGUUAUUCUUGUA